UUACGGCCACAUCACGUUGAAACACUGCUUCCCAUAUGAUCACUGGGUUAAGUAAUGUUGAUCCUGGUCAGUACUGAGAUGGGUGACUGCUUGGGAAUUCCAGGUGCUGUAAG
Non-coding RNA from Acanthosepion pharaonis, 113 nucleotides. The record is from the annotation of a GenBank genome assembly. Lineage: Eukaryota; Metazoa; Mollusca; Cephalopoda; Sepiida; Sepiidae.